Molecule: unclassified non-coding RNA, 582 nt
Filed under: Hevea brasiliensis (rubber tree)
Lineage: Eukaryota; Viridiplantae; Streptophyta; Magnoliopsida; Malpighiales; Euphorbiaceae
Source: RNAcentral
GUCAUUGCUUUAUAAUUUGAAUUGUGAACCAAUAAAAUUUUGAGUUGGUAAAAUUCAAAACUUAACAUCAUAAGUGAAAGUACAAUUAAAUUAUUGAUGUGUGUUAUAGGAAAAGAGAUUCUUAAAAUUUAUAAGCUAAUUUUUUAACUCCAAUCGAAAGUGAACGCUAUAUUUUUCAAGAGAAAAAAAAAUUACAAGAUCUUGGCUCCUAUCAUCAAUUUCUAUUCUGCACGGUUAACUUCCCCCGUUUGGGGUUGCGUUUCAAUCAGAACCGGCUUUUUACCAUUUGAAACGCAAUCCCAAAGGGCCUAAGAAAGGAAAAAUUAUUAGGUGCAUCUCUCACAAUCACAAUCAGGUGGGAUACACUUUCCAUAGCUCACUUCUCUGUGAGAGGGGAAUUAGCCCUAAGAAAAUGGUCGUUUGUUUAUCGAUCAUAGUGAAAAAUUGAAAGAAAAUAAAGGGUUUGAUUUCCGGAAGUUAUAGCAACAGAGAAAUGAGUUUAUUGAUAAGAUUAAACCCAAAAAUACUAGAAAGAAAUCAACUCAGCAGUCGAAACCAGGGAAAAAAAAACAGCAAGCAAUA